GACGAACGCUGGCGGCGUGCUUAACACAUGCAAGUCGAACGGAAAGGCCCUGCUUUUGUGGGGUGCUCGAGUGGCGAACGGGGGAGUAACACGUGAGUAACCUGCCCUUGACUUUGGGAUAACUUCAGGAAACUGGGGCUAAUACCGGAUAGGAGAUCCUGCUGCAUGGUGGGGGUUGGAAAGUUUCGGCGGGUGGGGAUGGACUCGCGGCUUAUCAGCUUGUUGGUGGGGUAGUGGCUUACCAAGGCUUUGACGGGUAGCCGGCCGGAGAGGGUGGCCGGCCACAUUGGGCCUGAGAUACGGCCCAGACUCCUACGGGAGGCAGCAGUGGGGAAUAUUGCACAAUGGGCGGAAGCCUGAUGCAGCAACGCCGCGUGCGGGAUGACGGCCUUCGGGUUGUAAACCGCUUUCGCCUGUGACGAAGCGUGAGUGACGGUAAUGGGUAAAGAAGCACCGGCUAACUACGUG
This 468-nucleotide ribosomal RNA is filed under the name uncultured bacterium. RNAcentral's name for it is "partial 16S ribosomal RNA". It matches the Rfam family "Bacterial small subunit ribosomal RNA", at positions 28 to 507 of the family's 1533-position model. The record is from RNAcentral.